RNAcentral lists this transfer RNA (71 nucleotides) under bovine gut metagenome. It matches the Rfam family "tRNA". Rfam says of the family: Transfer RNA (tRNA) molecules are approximately 80 nucleotides in length. Their secondary structure includes four short double-helical elements and three loops (D, anti-codon, and T loops). Further hydrogen bonds mediate the characteristic L-shaped molecular structure. tRNAs have two regions of fundamental functional importance: the anti-codon, which is responsible for specific mRNA codon recognition, and the 3' end, to which the tRNAs corresponding amino acid is attached (by aminoacyl-tRNA synthetases). tRNAs cope with the degeneracy of the genetic code in two manners: having more than one tRNA (with a specific anti-codon) for a particular amino acid; and 'wobble' base-pairing, i.e. permitting non-standard base-pairing at the 3rd anti-codon position. The record is from RNAcentral.
AUCUUUAGCUCAGUUGGUUAGAGCAAUCGGCUCAUAACCGAUCGGUCAUAGGUUCGAGUCCUAUAAGAUCC